RNAcentral lists this ribosomal RNA (468 nucleotides) under uncultured bacterium. Its description in RNAcentral is "partial 16S ribosomal RNA". It matches the Rfam family "Bacterial small subunit ribosomal RNA", at positions 28 to 507 of the family's 1533-position model. The record is from RNAcentral.
GACGAACGCUGGCGGCGUGCUUAACACAUGCAAGUCGAACGGAAAGGCCCUGCUUUUGUGGGGUGCUCGAGUGGCGAACGGGUGAGUAACACGUGAGUAACCUGCCCUUGACUUUGGGAUAACUUCAGGUAACUGGGGCUAAUACCGGAUAGGAUCUCCUGCUGCAUGGUGGGGGUUGGAAAGUUGAGGCGGUUGGGGAUGGACUCGCGGCUUAUCAGCUUGUUGGUGGGGUAGUGGCUUACCAAGGCUUUGACGGGUAGCCGGCCUGAGAGGGUGACCGGCCACAUUGGGACUGAGAUACGGACCAGACUCCUACGGGAGGCAGCAGUGGGGAAUAUUGCACAAUGGGCGGAAGCCUGAUGCAGCAACGCCGCGUGCGGGAUGACGGCCUUCGGGCUGUAAACCGCUUUCGCCUGUGACGAAGCGUGAGUGACGGUAAUGGGUAAAGAAGCACCGGCUAACUACGUG